Panthera uncia (snow leopard) is the source of this 460-nucleotide long non-coding RNA. RefSeq lists it as uncharacterized. The transcript has 2 exons. Lineage: Eukaryota; Metazoa; Chordata; Mammalia; Carnivora; Felidae. The record is from RefSeq and is a predicted model, not a curated record.
CUGUUUGUCCAAACCCUUGGGAUGCUGAUAUGAUGCCUGGAGCUAUAGCAGCCAUCCUGCAAUCAUGAAGCAAUAAACAUGACAAUGAAAAGCCAAUAUGGCAAGGUUGGCAGUGGGAAGACAGGACAAGCCUGGGUUUUCUGUGAUGUUGUUGAGCUCUAAGUACACCAGCUCUGGACUGCCUGCAUCAAGAAAUCUUGUGUAGGGGCACCUGGGUGGCUCAGUCAGUUAGGCGUCCAACUUCAACUCAGGUCAUAAUCUCACCUCAGGUCACGAUCUCACUGUUUGUUGGGUUCGAGCCCUGCGUCAGGCUCUGUGCUGACAACUCAGAGCCUGGAGCCUGCUUCGGAUUCUGUGUCUCCCUCUCUCUCUGACCCUCCCCCAUUCAUGCUCUGUCUCUGUCUCAAAAAUAAAUGUUUAAAAAAAAAAAAAAAAAAAAAAGACCAAAAAGACAUGAAAA